GAUGAAACCCGCAAAAAAUUUCGACCGAGGCAGGACUCGAACCUGCAGUCUUCGGUUUAGGAGACCGACGCCUUAUCCAUUAGGCCACACGGCCA
Molecule: non-coding RNA, 95 nt
Organism: Caenorhabditis elegans
Lineage: Eukaryota; Metazoa; Nematoda; Chromadorea; Rhabditida; Rhabditidae
Source: Ensembl